GGGUUGUGAGGUUAAGCGACUAAGCGUACACGGUGGAUGCCCUGGCAGUCAGAGGCGAUGAAGGACGUGCUAAUCUGCGAUAAGCGUCGGUAAGGUGAUAUGAACCGUUAUAACCGGCGAUUUCCGAAUGGGGAAACCCAGUGUGAUUCGUCACACUAUCAUUAACUGAAUCCAUAGGUUAAUGAGGCGAACCGGGGGAACUGAAACAUCUAAGUACCCCGAGGAAAAGAAAUCAACCGAGAUUCCCCCAGUAGCGGCGAGCGAACGGGGAGCAGCCCAGAGCCUGAAUCAGUGUGUGUGUUAGUGGAAGCGUCUGGAAAGGCGCGCGAUACAGGGUGACAGCCCCGUACACAAAAAUGCACAUGCUGUGAGCUCGAUGAGUAGGGCGGGACACGUGGUAUCCUGUCUGAAUAUGGGGGGACCAUCCUCCAAGGCUAAAUACUCCUGACUGACCGAUAGUGAACCAGUACCGUGAGGGAAAGGCGAAAAGAACCCCGGCGAGGGGAGUGAAAAAGAACCUGAAACCGUGUACGUACAAGCAGUGGGAGCACGCUUAGGCGUGUGACUGCGUACCUUUUGUAUAAUGGGUCAGCGACUUAUAUUCUGUAGCAAGGUUAACCGAAUAGGGGAGCCGAAGGGAAACCGAGUCUUAACUGGGCGUUAAGUUGCAGGGUAUAGACCCGAAACCCGGUGAUCUAGCCAUGGGCAGGUUGAAGGUUGGGUAACACUAACUGGAGGACCGAACCGACUAAUGUUGAAAAAUUAGCGGAUGACUUGUGGCUGGGGGUGAAAGGCCAAUCAAACCGGGAGAUAGCUGGUUCUCCCCGAAAGCUAUUUAGGUAGCGCCUCGUGAAUUCAUCUCCGGGGGUAGAGCACUGUUUCGGCAAGGGGGUCAUCCCGACUUACCAACCCGAUGCAAACUGCGAAUACCGGAGAAUGUUAUCACGGGAGACACACGGCGGGUGCUAACGUCCGUCGUGAAGAGGGAAACAACCCAGACCGCCAGCUAAGGUCCCAAAGUCAUGGUUAAGUGGGAAACGAUGUGGGAAGGCCCAGACAGCCAGGAUGUUGGCUUAGAAGCAGCCAUCAUUUAAAGAAAGCGUAAUAGCUCACUGGUCGAGUCGGCCUGCGCGGAAGAUGUAACGGGGCUAAACCAUGCACCGAAGCUGCGGCAGCGACGCUUAUGCGUUGUUGGGUAGGGGAGCGUUCUGUAAGCCUGCGAAGGUGUGCUGUGAGGCAUGCUGGAGGUAUCAGAAGUGCGAAUGCUGACAUAAGUAACGAUAAAGCGGGUGAAAAGCCCGCUCGCCGGAAGACCAAGGGUUCCUGUCCAACGUUAAUCGGGGCAGGGUGAGUCGACCCCUAAGGCGAGGCCGAAAGGCGUAGUCGAUGGGAAACAGGUUAAUAUUCCUGUACUUGGUGUUACUGCGAAGGGGGGACGGAGAAGGCUAUGUUGGCCGGGCGACGGUUGUCCCGGUUUAAGCGUGUAGGCUGGUUUUCCAGGCAAAUCCGGAAAAUCAAGGCUGAGGCGUGAUGACGAGGCACUACGGUGCUGAAGCAACAAAUGCCCUGCUUCCAGGAAAAGCCUCUAAGCAUCAGGUAACAUCAAAUCGUACCCCAAACCGACACAGGUGGUCAGGUAGAGAAUACCAAGGCGCUUGAGAGAACUCGGGUGAAGGAACUAGGCAAAAUGGUGCCGUAACUUCGGGAGAAGGCACGCUGAUAUGUAGGUGAAGUCCCUCGCGGAUGGAGCUGAAAUCAGUCGAAGAUACCAGCUGGCUGCAACUGUUUAUUAAAAACACAGCACUGUGCAAACACGAAAGUGGACGUAUACGGUGUGACGCCUGCCCGGUGCCGGAAGGUUAAUUGAUGGGGU
RNAcentral lists this ribosomal RNA (1873 nucleotides) under Escherichia coli. RNAcentral describes it as "partial 23S ribosomal RNA". It matches the Rfam family "Bacterial large subunit ribosomal RNA", at positions 1 to 1890 of the family's 2925-position model. The record is from RNAcentral. Lineage: Bacteria; Pseudomonadati; Pseudomonadota; Gammaproteobacteria; Enterobacterales; Enterobacteriaceae.